Molecule: ribosomal RNA, 453 nt
Filed under: uncultured Paraprevotella sp.
Lineage: Bacteria; Pseudomonadati; Bacteroidota; Bacteroidia; Bacteroidales; Prevotellaceae
Description: partial 16S ribosomal RNA
Rfam family: Bacterial small subunit ribosomal RNA
Source: RNAcentral
ACGGGAGGCAGCAGUGAGGAAUAUUGGUCAAUGGGCGCGAGCCUGAACCAGCCAAGUAGCGUGAAGGAUGACUGCCCUAUGGGUUGUAAACUUCUUUUGUUCGGGAAUAAAGUCGGGGACGUGUCCCCGUUUGUAUGUACCGUUCGAAUAAGCAUCGGCUAAUUCCGUGCCAGCAGCCGCGGUAAUACGGAAGAUGCGAGCGUUAUCCGGAUUUAUUGGGUUUAAAGGGAGCGUAGGCGGGCUGUUAAGUCAGCGGUUAAAUGUCAAGGCCCAACCUUGUCAUGCCGUUGAAACUGGCGGUCUUGAAUACACACAAGGAUGGUGGAAUUCGUCGUGUAGCGGUGAAAUGCUUAGAUAUGACGAAGAACUCCGAUUGCGAAGGCAGCCAUCUGGGGUGCGAUUGACGCUGAGGCUCGAAAGUGCGGGAAUCAAACAGGAUUAGAUACCCUGGUA